UAACUGUAAACGAAUGCGGACUUGGUGUUGGGUGGCUUUGAGCUGCUUCAGUGCCGAAGGGAAGCUGUUAAGUCCGCCGCCUGGGAAGUACGGUCGCAAGACUGAAACUUAAAGGAAUUGGCGGGGGAGGCACCACAACACGUGGAGCCUGCGGUUUAAUUUGGAUUCAACGCCGGACAUCUCACCAGAGGCGACAGCUGUAUGAUAGCCAGGUUGAUGACUUUGCUUGACUAGCUGAGAGGUGGUGCAUGGCGUCAGUGACU
Molecule: ribosomal RNA, 263 nt
Filed under: uncultured archaeon
Lineage: Archaea
Description: partial 16S ribosomal RNA
Rfam family: Archaeal small subunit ribosomal RNA
Source: RNAcentral